UAAGGAGGGGGAGAGCGUUAUUCGGAAUUAUUGGGCGUAAAGGGCGCGUAGGAGGCUGGGCAAGUCCAAGGUGAAAUCCCUCGGCUCAACCGAGGAAGUGCCUUGGAAACUGCCCGGCUUGAGGCCGGGAGAGGGUAGUGGAAUUCCCAGUGUAGCGGUGAAAUGCGUAGAUAUUGGGAGGAACACCGGUGGCGAAGGCGGCUACCUGGACCGGUUCUGACGCUGAGGCGCGAAAGCGUGGGGAGCAAACAGG
This 253-nucleotide ribosomal RNA is filed under the name uncultured bacterium. RNAcentral describes it as "partial 16S ribosomal RNA". It matches the Rfam family "Bacterial small subunit ribosomal RNA", at positions 524 to 776 of the family's 1533-position model. The record is from RNAcentral.